GCCACCUUCUCUUGGCAGAGCUCGAACCCCUUUAUGAACGCUUCCUGGCCAAAUUGGACCUUCAGGUCCCUCAUCUCCACGGAGGCCUUGAAUUCCUCUACCACAAGGGCUCUGGCCUCCGAGACCAGGACCAAAAUUUGCUCGGCCAAGUUGGCGACCUCGGCCUCCGCCUUUCUCGCCGAUUCCUCCAAGGUCUGCCUCUCCUCCUCCCG
RNAcentral lists this long non-coding RNA (212 nucleotides) under Elaeis guineensis (African oil palm). RNAcentral's name for it is "long non-coding RNA (EGUI_LNC065204)". The record is from RNAcentral. Lineage: Eukaryota; Viridiplantae; Streptophyta; Magnoliopsida; Arecales; Arecaceae.